Molecule: ribosomal RNA, 403 nt
Filed under: uncultured bacterium
Lineage: Bacteria
Description: partial 16S ribosomal RNA
Rfam family: Bacterial small subunit ribosomal RNA
Source: RNAcentral
AUUGAACGCUGGCGGCAGGCCUAACACAUGCAAGUCGAGCGGAGCGGGGACGGGUGAGUAACACGUGGGUAACCUCACAUCAGAGGGGAUAACACUUGGAAACAGGUGCUAAACCGAUAUUGAUGGAUGGACCCGCGGUGCAUUUGGUAGUUGGUGGGGUAACGGCUCACCAAGGCCACGGAGCAUAGCCGACCUGAGAGGGUGAUCGGCCAAACUGGAACUGAGAAACGGCCCAGACUCCUACGGGAGGCAGCAGUGGGGAAUCUUGGGAAAGGGGCGAAAGUCUGACCAAGAAACGCCGCGUGAGGGAAGAAGGUUUUCGGUUCGUAAAACUCUGUUGUUAGGGAGGCGGUAUCUAACCAGAAAGCCACGGCUAACUACGUGCCAGCAGCCGCGGUAAUUC